This 89-nucleotide transfer RNA is filed under the name Magnetococcales bacterium. RNAcentral describes it as "tRNA-Leu". The record is from RNAcentral. Lineage: Bacteria; Pseudomonadati; Pseudomonadota; Magnetococcia; Magnetococcales.
GUGCACGUAUGCCUGAGUGGUGAAGGUCCGGUUUCAAAAACCGGUUUCGCGGAUCAGGAUUUCCAACGCCAGACGCCACAUGCGCGCCA